This 497-nucleotide ribosomal RNA is filed under the name uncultured bacterium. RNAcentral's name for it is "partial 16S ribosomal RNA". It matches the Rfam family "Bacterial small subunit ribosomal RNA", at positions 28 to 507 of the family's 1533-position model. The record is from RNAcentral.
GAUGAACGCUGGCGGCGUGCCUAAUACAUGCAAGUCGAGCGAACAGAUGAGGAGCUUGCUCCUCUGACGUUAGCGGCGGACGGGUGAGUAACACGUGGAUAACCUACCUAUAAGACUGGGAUAACUUCGGGAAACCGGAGCUAAUCCCGGAUAAUAUAUUGAACCGCAUGGUUCAAUAGUGAAAGACGGUUUUGCUGUCACUUAUAGAUGGAUCCGCGCCGCAUUAGCUAGUUGGUAAGGUAACGGCUUACCAAGGCAACGAUGCGUAGCCGACGUGAGAGGGUGAUCGGCCACACUGGAGCUGAGACACGGACAAGACGCCUACGGGAGGCAGCAGUAGGGAAUCUUCCGCAAUGGGCGAGAGCCUGACGGAGCAACGCCGCGUGAGUGAUGAAGGUCUUCGGAUCGUAAAACUCUGUUAUUAGGGAAGAACAAAUGUGUAAGUAACUAUGCACGGCUUGACGGUACCUAAUCAGAAAGCCACGGCUAACUACGUG